RNAcentral lists this ribosomal RNA (425 nucleotides) under uncultured bacterium. RNAcentral describes it as "partial 16S ribosomal RNA". It matches the Rfam family "Bacterial small subunit ribosomal RNA", at positions 354 to 796 of the family's 1533-position model. The record is from RNAcentral.
GUGGGGAAUCUUAGACAAUGGGCGCAAGCCUGAUCUAGCCAUGCCGCGUGAGCGAUGAAGGCCUUAGGGUUGUAAAGCUCUUUCGUGGGGGAAGAUAAUGACUGUACCCCAAGAAGAAGCCCCGGCUAACUCUGUGCCAGCAGCCGCGGUAAUACGGAGGGGGCUAGCGUUGUUCGGAAUUACUGGGCGUAAAGCGCACGUAGGCGGACUGGAAAGUCAGGGGUGAAAUCCCGGGGCUCAACCCCGGAACUGCCUUUGAAACUCCCAGUCUUGAGUUCGAGAGAGGUGAGUGGAAUUCCGAGUGUAGAGGUGAAAUUCGUAGAUAUUCGGAGGAACACCAGUGGCGAAGGCGGCUCACUGGCUCGAUACUGACGCUGAGGUGCGAAAGCGUGGGGAGCAAACAGGAUUAGAUACCCGAGUAGUCC